This 466-nucleotide ribosomal RNA is filed under the name uncultured bacterium. Its description in RNAcentral is "partial 16S ribosomal RNA". It matches the Rfam family "Bacterial small subunit ribosomal RNA", at positions 28 to 507 of the family's 1533-position model. The record is from RNAcentral.
GAUGAACGCUGGCGGCGUGCUUAACACAUGCAAGUCGAACGGAAAGGCUCCUGCUUGCAGGGGUACUCGAGUGGCGAACGGGUGAGUAACACGUGGGUGAUCUGCCCUGCACUUCGGGAUAAGCCUGGGAAACUGGGUCUAAUACCGGAUAGGACGAUGGGUUGGAUGCCAUUGUGGAAAGUUUUUUCGGUGUGGGAUGAGCUCGCGGCCUAUCCGCUUGUUGGUGGGGUAAUGGCCUACCAACGCGUCGACGGGUAGCCGGCCUGAGAGGGUGUACGGCCACAGUGGGCCUGAGAUACGGCCCAGACGCCUACGGGGGGCAGCAGUGGAGAAUAUUGCACAAUGGGCGCAAGCCUGAUGCAGCGACGCCGCGUUGGGGAUGACGGCCUUCGGGUUGGAAACUCCUUUCGCUAGGGACGAAGCGCAAGUGACGGUACCUGGAGAAGAAGCACCGGCUAACUACGUG